UUUUUUUUUUUUUACUUCAGAAGCUCUUUUGUUUCUCUGGGAUGUUCCUUUCCCAUAGCAAUCUUGUUCUAGUUCCAGGAAUAUAAAAUUUUCUUAUUUCACUGAUAAUUUUAAUGAUUGUUUCCUUCAUCCUUGAAUAGUUUUAUUAUUCCAAGUAGAUUUUACCUGUUUAUUCUGGCCUCUGUCAUUCAUGUUAUGGGCUUUUCUCAGCAUCCGAGAUCCCAAGGUUAAUAGCUCAUUGUUAAGAGUAGAGAAUUGGACACCUAGAGCUCGGUUUGCAUUUGAGCGUCUCUGAAGCCACUCUGUGGCUGGGUGGGUUGGGGGGAAAAUUUGGGAGUAAUGCAUGACCUUGAUGUUUGUAUCUUUCCUCUUAGGCUGGUCGUAUUCUCUAGAAAAGACCCUUUACAUCUGCCUUGGCAGAUAAAGACCAGGUUUGGGCUUUUGAGAGUCGAGAAGGAGAAGCAGGUGGAAGGAUUGGCUCAUUCCGUAGUCCUGGUUUCUGUAAGAUUACAUUGUCUUUUGUCCAAGACACUUCUCACCUUACUCCCUGCAGAAGAUAAUCCUCCAGUUUUCAGUGCCGCAUGGCUGAGGGGGAAGGGCAGCAAGUACCCUGCAAGAAGGGUGGGGUAGGAUUAUUGGUAAGUCGUGUAAAUAAAAAAGUAAGCAAGUAUCAAUUUCAAGAAGAUAAAAAUAUAGCUAUGGAGAAAGAGUAACUACAGUUUGUUAAUGGAUCAGCUAGUGACCUAAUAUUAUCUGAGUCUCCUUAUUGUGGUUGCCCUCACCUCAGGUACCUUGGGCUGCUAAUUCCUGAGCCUUUGGAAGAUUUUGUUAUGUAAAUGAAAUGAUUUUCUGCCUUUUUUCAGUAGCUAGUUUGGGUGUCCUGUAGUUCCUCUUUGAUCGCUGUGUUUCACAGCUUCCAGAGUCACUUUUCUUUAAUUCUCCAUAUCUUUGUAAACUUAUGCCCUUAAAAUAAAAUUACACACACAUCUUUAUUACAUUUUAGAGAGAUUUUAUGCAAGCGCAAAAUUAGAUGUUUAUUUAACCUGGAAAUGUUGAUAUCCUCUAAAAAAAAGUAUUUGUUUACUUUUGUUUUCUUAUUUACUGUUUUAUCAAGCUCGAUGUUUAAUUUUGUCAAAUCCAAGCAUGCCAAAAUUUCGGAGUCAGAGGGAAGGGUUUCUGCUUUCUAACCAUUGUUAUUUUUAAUUUUUAGUUAUGCCUGGGGUAAUAGCUCUGUGAUGAAGAUUACCCUUCAGCUUUCUCAUCUGAAAGAAGGUUGCUCUAAGAGCCACUACAUCCAUCCAUGCCUUACUCCAAUUUGAAUUUUCUUUAGACCUCACCCCUGUUAACACAAGAAAUGAAUCAGCUCCUUUGACAUAUGGGUGCUAUUACAAACUCAAGCUAAUCCCCAAGUGACUUUGUAUUUUACUUUGGUGUGUGUCAUUUGUUGAUUGUAUGGAAUUUUAUCCCCAGUCAGAGCUAAAAUCUAGGUAAUAAAAAGGAAAAAUAAUUCAGAGUAUUAGUUAAGCGUUUACUAAACAUUUGCUGAUUACCUGUUAUAGUCAAGGCUCUAUCCUGGGAGCUAUAACGGAAGAGAAUGCUCUUGUUCUUGGAGAGGUUAUACUUUAAAAAAAAGAAACAGGGAACAAACAUGAAAUACCUAGUGAAUAUUGGAGAACCAUUCUUUCCACUUGUUUUACCAGAUGUUUGUCUUUAAAAACAAUCAGGGAAAUAGGAAAUGAAAUUAUUAAUGUAUGUAUUCGCCUUAGAUCUUGGCUUCAUUUUUUAGCCUUUAUAAAAUAGCCCUUUUUUUGGAAUCACAUAAUAUAGUGACAUAAUUAAAAUCUGUACCUGUUAGCACUCUUCCAUCAGCAUUUCUUGAAUUUUCAGUAAUUGUUUUUAACCCUCAAAGAUUACUUUAGGAGAAGAAUAUGAUAGAAAAAAAGGUAAUUUGAAAAAAAGGGAAAUGUUUUAUAUUCAGUGCUUUUCUUUCCUUUUACACUUCCGUACAUAGAUUUGAUUCCAUGACUGUUUACCUUCUACAGUACAGAGAGAGAGAGAGAGAAUUGUAUUUCAGUCGUCUAUUGUUCUUGCAGGCAUUUACUUUUGUCAUCUGCUGCUCCUGAGCAUGUUAGUACUGGCAACUCAUUUUCUUCUCUCUUACUGAACUUUGCAACUGCUUCUAAGUUUCUCAAGAAUAUUUCUGAUUUUAUUACUGUGUCCAGAUACUUGGCGUGGCAGUAGGAGUGAAGAGAUGGCUGGUGUUGACCAGUAGAAAUCUGUAUAUCUUCGCCUUCAGGGCUAAAAUUAUAAUAAAGUCAUACUGCCUAAUGGCAAGACGACGACCUGGAUUGGGUUGUGAUGGUGGUUGUACAACUAUAAAUGUAAUAAAAUCCAUUGAGUUUUUUUAAAAAAAGACUAGGACUUGGGUUUUCUUAUGCCCAGUGUUGUCUCCACUGACCAGACUAAAUUAUUUCAUGAUUUUUCUUUAUACAUCUAUCACUUGUCGAAGUGGAAGCCCUCCAUGACGAAACGGAGCCCUUGCCAAGUGUUCUAAUUUGUUAGCCUUUUUGUCUCUUGGAUAUUUUCCUUCUUUCUGUUUAGGGAAAAUAUUGAGGUUUUGCUUCACAUAGGGAUCAUUUAUGGGAAAUGCUGCUUAUAAUCUGUGAUAAAAGCUGGGAAAGAUAAGCAUGGUUUUGGGGCCAAUCAGAUAAGUUGAAUUCUUGAUAAACUUAUUUUUUCAUCAUGUUGACUCACCUCUGGCAAGUCUCUUAAACUUUCCGGGCUUCAUUUUUCCCAUCUACAGACUGGAAAUAAUAUUUCUAUUCUCCAGCUUAUGGCAGUUUUUUGAGACGACAGUGGGAUAGGAAAUGUGGGAAGGUAGUAAUCUACAGGUGAGUAGUUAGCAUUUGGAUUUAAGGAGAGACUUCCAGCAACACUCAGGAUUCUGAGUUAGAGCGAAUGCGAAGAUGAGCGUUAAAGUGACGAAUGAAGGUGGGAGACAUUGGACAACUCGCCUAAAAAUGAAAUUAAGGUAUCUACGCAGUAUGCAGGCUGGAUUCAGUGAUGGAGGAGUUGUAA
This 3078-nucleotide long non-coding RNA is filed under the name Sus scrofa (pig). Its description in RNAcentral is "lncRNA (ENSSSCG00005037479.1)". The record is from RNAcentral. Lineage: Eukaryota; Metazoa; Chordata; Mammalia; Artiodactyla; Suidae.